This 392-nucleotide ribosomal RNA is filed under the name Treponema sp. oral taxon 251. RNAcentral describes it as "bacterial SSU rRNA". It matches the Rfam family "Bacterial small subunit ribosomal RNA", at positions 29 to 413 of the family's 1533-position model. Lineage: Bacteria; Pseudomonadati; Spirochaetota; Spirochaetia; Treponematales; Treponemataceae. The record is from RNAcentral.
AACGAACGCUGGCGGUGCGUCUUAAGCAUGCAAGUCGAACGGUAAGAAGAGAGCUUGCUCUUUUCCUAGAGUGGCGGACUGGUGAGUAACGCGUGGAUGAUCUACCUUUAAGAUGGGGAUAGCUUCUAGAAAUAGGAGAUAAUACCGAAUAACCUUAUCGUGUUAUGACGUGAUAAGAAAAUGGAGCGUUAGCUCCGCUUGAAGAUGAGUCUGCGUCCCAUUAGCUAGUUGGUAAGGUAAAGGCUUACCAAGGCGACGAUGGGUAUCCGGCCUGAGAGGGUGAACGGACACAUUGGGACUGAGAUACGGCCCAAAUCCUACGGGAGGCAGCAGCUGAGAAUCUUCCGCAAUGGACGAAAGUCUGACGGAGCGACACCGCGUGAACGAUGAAG